AUUUCUGUCAUUUCCUUUAGAUAUGUAUCUGUUAUGUUUCAAGAUUUCACUACUUGUUUGAUAUCAUCUUGUUGGAUUCACUUGUUUUAUAUGCAUUUCUAUGUGCAGUCCAUGAAUAACAUUCUAAAAUAUGAUGUAACAGUUGCCUUUUUGUAUUUAUAGGGGUCAUUGAACCAUGCAAGUACGAUUAAUUUAUUGGAAGCAGGUUUUUCUGUAUACGGAUGUUAUAUAUUGAUGCUGGAUGUAUUGUAUUUUGUCUAGGAAAUGGAUGGUGUCUGCUUUUUUUAUUUGACUUAAGAGUUAGGCUGUUUUCAUUAGCGAAUGUGCUUUGUAAGUCUAAUGUUUUAUUCUGCUUUAUCCAUAUAGAUCAGGGGUCGGCAACCUUUCUGGAGUUAAGAGCCAUUUUUUUUCCCCGAUGUGAUAAAUUAUUUUUUUAAAGAGC
RNAcentral lists this long non-coding RNA (442 nucleotides) under Androctonus crassicauda. Lineage: Eukaryota; Metazoa; Arthropoda; Arachnida; Scorpiones; Buthidae. The record is from RNAcentral.